CCUACGGGUGGCUGCAGUGGGGAAUAUUGCGCAAUGGGCGAAAGCCUGACGCAGCGACGCCGCGUGAGGGAUGAAGGUCUUCGGAUCGUAAACCUCUGUUAGCAGGGAAGAACGGUCACUGUGCUAAUCAGCAGUGAAUUGACGGUACCUGCAAAGGAAGCACCGGCUAACUCCGUGCCAGCAGCCGCGGUAAUACGGAGGGUGCGAGCGUUAAUCGGAAUUACGGGGCGUAAAGCGCGCGUAGGCGGUAUGUCAAGUCACGGGGGAAAUCCCCGCGCUCAACGUGGGAACUGCCUUUGAUACUGGCAGACUGGAGUGUGUGAGAGGGUAGUGGAAUUCCAGGUGGAGAAGUGAAAUCCGUAGAUAUCUGGAGGAACAUCAGUGGCGAAGGCGACUAUCUGGCACAUAACUGACGCUGAGGAGCGAAAGCGUGGGUAGCAAACAGGAUUAGAUACCCGUGUAGUC
RNAcentral lists this ribosomal RNA (465 nucleotides) under uncultured bacterium. RNAcentral describes it as "partial 16S ribosomal RNA". It matches the Rfam family "Bacterial small subunit ribosomal RNA", at positions 338 to 795 of the family's 1533-position model. The record is from RNAcentral.